UGAAUCUAUAAUAAACUAUUUUAAAUUAGUUUUGAAAACUAAUUUGGAUUUAUUUCGUAGUUUUAA
Molecule: transfer RNA, 66 nt
Filed under: Dictyocaulus viviparus (bovine lungworm)
Lineage: Eukaryota; Metazoa; Nematoda; Chromadorea; Rhabditida; Metastrongylidae
Description: tRNA-Ser
Source: RNAcentral